RNAcentral lists this ribosomal RNA (491 nucleotides) under uncultured bacterium. Its description in RNAcentral is "partial 16S ribosomal RNA". It matches the Rfam family "Bacterial small subunit ribosomal RNA", at positions 28 to 507 of the family's 1533-position model. The record is from RNAcentral.
GAUGAACGCUAGCUACAGGCUUAACACAUGCAAGUCGCGGGGCAGCAUGGGGGUUGCUUGCAACCCCUGAUGGCGACCGGCGCACGGGUGAGUAACGCGUAUCCAACCUGCCCUUCACCACGGGAUAACCCGGCGAAAGUCGGACUAAUACCGUAUGUUGUCCAUUGACGGCAUCCGAUUUGGACGAAAGGCUUGGCGGUGAGAGGAUGGGGAUGCGUCCGAUUAGCUUGACGGCGGGGUAACGGCCCACCGUGGUUACGAUCGGUAGGGGUUCUGAGAGGAAGGUCCCCCACACUGGAACUGAGACACGGUCCAGACUCCUACGGGAGGCAGCAGUGAGGAAUAUUGGUCAAUGGGCGUAAGCCUGAACCAGCCAAGUAGCGUGCAGGAUGACGGCCCUAUGGGUUGUAAACUGCUUUUAUGCGGGGAUAAAGUGGCCCACGUGUGGGCUUUUGCAGGUACCGCAUGAAUAAGGACCGGCUAAUUCCGUG